Molecule: ribosomal RNA, 448 nt
Filed under: uncultured bacterium
Lineage: Bacteria
Description: partial 16S ribosomal RNA
Rfam family: Bacterial small subunit ribosomal RNA
Source: RNAcentral
UGCCAGACUCCUACGGGAGGCAGCAGUGGGGGAUAUUGCACAAUGGGGGAAACCCUGAUGCAGCGACGCCGCGUGUGGGAAGACGGUCCUCUGGAUUGUAAACCACUGUCCCCAGGGACGAAAAUGACGGUACCUGGGGAGGAAGCUCCGGCUAACUACGUGCCAGCAGCCGCGGUAAUACGUAGGGGGCAAGCGUUAUCCGGAUUUACUGGGUGUAAAGGGAGCGUAGACGGCAGCGCAAGUCUGAAGUGAAAUGCCGGGGCUUAACCCCGGAACUGCUUUGGAAACUGAGCAGCUAGAGUGCAGGAGAGGUAAGUGGAAUUCCUAGUGUAGCGGUGAAAUGCGUAGAUAUUAGGAGGAACACCAGUGGCGAAGGCGGCUUACUGGACUGUAACUGACGUUGAGGCUCGAAAGCGUGGGGAGCAAACAGGAUUAGAUACCCCUGUAA